This 256-nucleotide ribosomal RNA is filed under the name uncultured Piloderma. RNAcentral describes it as "partial 28S ribosomal RNA". It matches the Rfam family "Eukaryotic large subunit ribosomal RNA", at positions 1 to 247 of the family's 3401-position model. The record is from RNAcentral. Lineage: Eukaryota; Fungi; Basidiomycota; Agaricomycetes; Atheliales; Atheliaceae.
UUGACCUCAAAUCAGGUAGGACUACCCGCUGAACUUAAGCAUAUCAAUAAGCGGAGGAAAAGAAACUAACAAGGAUUCCCCUAGUAACUGCGAGUGAAGCGGGAAAAGCUCAAAUUUAAAAUCUGGCGGUCUUGCGGCCGUCCGAGUUGUAAUCUGGAGAAGCGUUUAUCCGCGUCGGACCGUGUACAAGUCUUCUGGAAGGGAGCGUCGUAGAGGGUGAGAAUCCCGUCUUUGACACGGACAACCGGUGCUUUUG